UUCCUUCAUGAAAUGCGAAUAAAAGCUUCGGCCAAGCUCACUCUACUGCAUUCAAUGCUAAGAGCAUUAUAUAAGGAAGGUCAUAGAGUUCUUAUUUUCUCGCAGAUGACCAAACUUCUGGAUAUUCUUGAAGAUUAUUUAACUGUAGAGUUUGGGCCCAAAACAUAUGAGAGAGUAGACGGAUCUGUAUCUGUCUGUGAUCGUCAGGCAGCAAUUGCACGUUUCAACCAAGAUAAAAGCCGAUUCGUGUUCUUGUUAUCAACACGCUCAUGUGGCCUGGGAAUCAAUUUGGCAACUGCUGACACUGUCAUUAUUUAUGAUUCUGAUUUUAACCCACAUGCUGAUAUCCAAGCAAUGAACCGGGCACAUCGAAUUGGACAAUCUAAUAGACUUUUGGUGUAUCGACUUGUUGUUUGUGCCAGUGUUGAAGAGCGCAUCUUGCAGCUUGCUAAAAAGAAACUGAUGCUUGAUCAGCUUUUUGUGAAUAAGUCUGGAUCUCAGAAGGAAGUGGAAGAUAUUCUACGAUGGGGAACAGAGGAACUUUUUAGUGAUUCUUUUACCAUGAAUGGGAAAGAUACUGGUGAAAGUAAUAGCAACAAAGAUGAGGCAGUAAUUGAUAUAGAGCAAAAGCUGAGGAAAAGGGGUGGUGGCCUUGGGGAUGUGUACAAGGAUAAAUGUACAGAUGGUGGCAACAAGAUUGUCUGGGAUGAAAACGCAAUUGCAAAAUUGCUUGACCGUUCAAACCUGCAGUCUGGGAUAGCUGAUGUUACUGAAAUGGA
RNAcentral lists this unclassified non-coding RNA (779 nucleotides) under Hevea brasiliensis (rubber tree). The record is from RNAcentral. Lineage: Eukaryota; Viridiplantae; Streptophyta; Magnoliopsida; Malpighiales; Euphorbiaceae.